GAACGAAGCUGAGUUGGAACAGCUGCUGGAAUGACUAGGAGCUGGUGGCUGGCAGGAGCACAUGCCUUGCCCCAGACUUGAUGCUACAAAUGGGUGCCUGAGGACUACAUUUCCCAGCCUGCCUUGCUUUGUGGUUAAGAGAGAGAGAAGAACGGCUGGAGCCAUCCUGAGCCAGCAUGGUCCCAUCAUCGCUGAUGGGAGUUCCAGGCAACUGCUGCUUAUGGAGCUGCAGCUUCAGGCCGCCUUAAGCCACAACGAUUUCCCAGAGACUGAGGUCUCCCACUCAGUGACCAACCACCUUCCCUACUCCAGCAGCAUUUUUAAAGGCAACCCUGGACCAGCAGGGAGAAGACAAGGGACUUUCCCUUCUACCCAGCAAGCCCACCGGGUGUGAGAUGUGCUGAGAUGGAGAUUUACUAUGGAGUCAUCUACUUGUGGAAGAUAACCUGCCCUGCUCACAUCCCAGGAACUGAGUGUUGAAUUAUAUGUCGCAGUGACACCCUGACCCUUCCGUGAGAGAAGGAGCAUGUGCCUUUACUCCCUGAAACAACAGAGCCAGGGAAAAAUGGCCAGGCUACUCAUGCCCCAGCAUCUAACACAAUGGGAUCUCAGUUUUUCAGGCUUUCGGGCUUCCCUACAACUGACAGCUGCAUGAGAAAGCCACUUAAUCCCUCUUUGCCUGUCCUUGGGAUCCACUUCUGAUCCCUGCGGCAAGCUAAGUCCCAGCUCUGCAGAGACCUAACCCCCAAAGAGCUUGGUUUCCUUUCCCUCCCAGCUCCAGAUCAGCCCCUCCUACCCCUCCAGAUCAGCCCCUCCUACAGAGAAACUUGUGAAGGGAGCAAGGUACAUAGUUGGGGUCCAGAUCAGAUUAUCCUCCCAGUGUGGGGGUGUUCCCAUUUGGGUUUCUGGAUUGGAUCCAUUGUAGAAACAAGCCA
Molecule: long non-coding RNA, 935 nt
Filed under: Gopherus agassizii (Agassiz's desert tortoise)
Lineage: Eukaryota; Metazoa; Chordata; Testudines; Testudinidae
Description: lncRNA (ENSGAGG00000001323.1)
Source: RNAcentral